RNAcentral lists this ribosomal RNA (253 nucleotides) under uncultured prokaryote. RNAcentral's name for it is "partial 16S ribosomal RNA". It matches the Rfam family "Bacterial small subunit ribosomal RNA", at positions 524 to 776 of the family's 1533-position model. The record is from RNAcentral.
GACGUAGGGCGCGAGCGUUGUCCGGAUUUAUUGGGCGUAAAGAGCUCGUAGGCGGCUUGUUGCGUCGACUGUGAAAACCCGCGGCUUAACCGCGGGCCUGCAGUUGAUACGGGCAGGCUAGAGUUCGGUAGGGGAGACUGGAAUUCCUGGUGUAGCGGUGAAAUGCGCAGAUAUCAGGAGGAACACCGGUGGUGUAGACGGCUUUCUGGACCGUAACUGACGCUGAAACACGAAAGCGUGGGGAGCGAACAGG